GGUUAAGCGACUAAGCGUACACGGUGGAUGCCCUGGCAGUCAGAGGCGAUGAAGGACGUGCUAAUCUGCGAUAAGCGUCGGUAAGGUGAUAUGAACCGUUAUAACCGGCGAUUUCCGAAUGGGGAAACCCAGUGUGUUUCGACACACUAUCAUUAACUGAAUCCAUAGGUUAAUGAGGCGAACCGGGGGAACUGAAACAUCUAAGUACCCCGAGGAAAAGAAAUCAACCGAGAUUCCCCCAGUAGCGGCGAGCGAACGGGGAGCAGCCCAGAGCCUGAAUCAGUGUGUGUGUUAGUGGAAGCGUCUGGAAAGGCGUGCGAUACAGGGUGACAGCCCCGUACACAAAAAUGCACAUAUUGUGAGCUCGAUGAGUAGGGCGGGACACGUGGUAUCCUGUCUGAAUAUGGGGGGACCAUCCUCCAAGGCUAAAUACUCCUGACUGACCGAUAGUGAACCAGUACCGUGAGGGAAAGGCGAAAAGAACCCCGGCGAGGGGAGUGAAAAAGAACCUGAAACCGUGUACGUACAAGCAGUGGGAGCCUCUUUUAUGGGGUGACUGCGUACCUUUUGUAUAAUGGGUCAGCGACUUAUAUUCUGUAGCAAGGUUAACCGAAUAGGGGAGCCGAAGGGAAACCGAGUCUUAACUGGGCGUUAAGUUGCAGGGUAUAGACCCGAAACCCGGUGAUCUAGCCAUGGGCAGGUUGAAGGUUGGGUAACACUAACUGGAGGACCGAACCGACUAAUGUUGAAAAAUUAGCGGAUGACUUGUGGCUGGGGGUGAAAGGCCAAUCAAACCGGGAGAUAGCUGGUUCUCCCCGAAAGCUAUUUAGGUAGCGCCUCGUGAAUUCAUCUCCGGGGGUAGAGCACUGUUUCGGCAAGGGGGUCAUCCCGACUUACCAACCCGAUGCAAACUGCGAAUACCGGAGAAUGUUAUCACGGGAGACACACGGCGGGUGCUAACGUCCGUCGUGAAGAGGGAAACAACCCAGACCGCCAGCUAAGGUCCCAAAGUCAUGGUUAAGUGGGAAACGAUGUGGGAAGGCCCAGACAGCCAGGAUGUUGGCUUAGAAGCAGCCAUCAUUUAAAGAAAGCGUAAUAGCUCACUGGUCGAGUCGGCCUGCGCGGAAGAUGUAACGGGGCUAAACCAUGCACCGAAGCUGCGGCAGCGACGCUUAUGCGUUGUUGGGUAGGGGAGCGUUCUGUAAGCCUGUGAAGGUGUGCUGUGAGGCAUGCUGGAGGUAUCAGAAGUGCGAAUGCUGACAUAAGUAACGAUAAAGCGGGUGAAAAGCCCGCUCGCCGGAAGACCAAGGGUUCCUGUCCAACGUUAAUCGGGGCAGGGUGAGUCGACCCCUAAGGCGAGGCCGAAAGGCGUAGUCGAUGGGAAACAGGUUAAUAUUCCUGUACUUGGUGUUACUGCGAAGGGGGGACGGAGAAGGCUAUGUUGGCCGGGCGACGGUUGUCCCGGUUUAAGCGUGUAGGCUGGUUUUCCAGGCAAAUCCGGAAAAUCAAGGCUGAGGCGUGAUGACGAGGCACUACGGUGCUGAAGCAACAAAUGCCCUGCUUCCAGGAAAAGCCUCUAAGCAUCAGGUAACAUCAAAUCGUACCCCAAACCGACACAGGUGGUCAGGUAGAGAAUACCAAGGCGCUUGAGAGAACUCGGGUGAAGGAACUAGGCAAAAUGGUGCCGUAACUUCGGGAGAAGGCACGCUGAUAUGUAGGUGAAGUCCCUUGCGGAUGGAGCUGAAAUCAGUCGAAGAUACCAGCUGGCUGCAACUGUUUAUUAAAAACACAGCACUGUGCAAACACGAAAGUGGACGUAUACGGUGUGACGCCUGCCCGGUGCCGGAAGGUUAAUUGAUGGGGUCAGCGCAAGCGAAGCUCUUGAUCGAAGCCCCGGUAAACGGCGGCCGUAACUAUAACGGUCCUAAGGUAGCGAAAUUCCUUGUCGGGUAAGUUCCGACCUGCACGAAUGGCGUAAUGAUGGCCAGGCUGUCUCCACCCGAGACUCAGUGAAAUUGAACUCGCUGUGAAGAUGCAGUGUACCCGCGGCAAGACGGAAAGACCCCGUGAACCUUUACUAUAGCUUGACACUGAACAUUGAGCCUUGAUGUGUAGGAUAGGUGGGAGGCUUUGAAGUGUGGACGCCAGUCUGCAUGGAGCCGACCUUGAAAUACCACCCUUUAAUGUUUGAUGUUCUAACGUGGACCCGUGAUCCGGGUUGCGGACAGUGUCUGGUGGGUAGUUUGACUGGGGCGGUCUCCUCCUAAAGAGUAACGGAGGAGCACGAAGGUUGGCUAAUCCUGGUCGGACAUCAGGAGGUUAGUGCAAUGGCAUAAGCCAGCUUGACUGCGAGCGUGACGGCGCGAGCAGGUGCGAAAGCAGGUCAUAGUGAUCCGGUGGUUCUGAAUGGAAGGGCCAUCGCUCAACGGAUAAAAGGUACUCCGGGGAUAACAGGCUGAUACCGCCCAAGAGUUCAUAUCGACGGCGGUGUUUGGCACCUCGAUGUCGGCUCAUCACAUCCUGGGGCUGAAGUAGGUCCCAAGGGUAUGGCUGUUCGCCAUUUAAAGUGGUACGCGAGCUGGGUUUAGAACGUCGUGAGACAGUUCGGUCCCUAUCUGCCGUGGGCGCUGGAGAACUGAGGGGGGCUGCUCCUAGUACGAGAGGACCGGAGUGGACGCAUCACUGGUGUUCGGGUUGUCAUGCCAAUGGCACUGCCCGGUAGCUAAAUGCGGAAGAGAUAAGUGCUGAAAGCAUCUAAGCACGAAACUUGCCCCGAGAUGAGUUCUCCCUGACUCCUUGAGAGUCCUGAAGGAACGUUGAAGACGACGACGUUGAUAGGCCGGGUGUGUAAGCGCAGCGAUGCGUUGAGCUAACCGGUACUAAUGAACCGUGAGGCUUAACCUU
RNAcentral lists this ribosomal RNA (2904 nucleotides) under Escherichia coli O15:H12. RNAcentral describes it as "23S ribosomal RNA". It matches the Rfam family "Bacterial large subunit ribosomal RNA". The record is from RNAcentral. Lineage: Bacteria; Pseudomonadati; Pseudomonadota; Gammaproteobacteria; Enterobacterales; Enterobacteriaceae.